GGACUUAAGCAUAUCAAUAAGCGGAGGAAAAGAAACUAACAAGGAUUCCCCUAGUAACGGCGAGUGAAGAGGGAAAAGCUCAAAUUUGAAAUCUGGCGGCCUACGGUCGUCCGAGUUGUAAUCUAGAGAAGUGUUUUCCGUGCUGGACCGUGUACAAGUCCUUUGGAACAAGGCGUCAUAGAGGGUGAGAAUCCCGUCUACGACACGGACUACCAGUGCUCUGUGAUACACUCUCAACGAGUCGAGUUGUUUGGGAAUGCAGCUCAAAAUGGGUGGUAAAUUCCAUCUAAAGCUAAAUACAGGCGAAAGACCGAUAGCGAACAAGUACCGUGAGGGAAAGAUGAAAAGCACUUUGGAAAGAGAGUUAAACAGUACGUGAAAUUGUUGAAAGGGAAACGCUUGAAGUCAGUCGCGUCUUCAGAAAUUCAGCCUGGCUUCUGCCUGGUGUACUUUUCUGUUGGACGGGCCAGCAUCAGUUUUGGUCGCCAGAGAAAGGUGAGAGGAAGGUGGCACCUCCGGGUGUGUUAUAGCCUCUUAUCGUAUGUGGCGACUGGGACUGAGGACCGCAGCACGCCUUCAUGGCCGGGGUUCGCCCACGUAACGUGCUUAGGAUGCUGGCGUAAUGGCUUUAAGCGACCCGUCUUGAAACACGGACCAAGGAGUCUAACAUGCCUGCGAGUAUUUGGGUGGUAAACCCAUAUGCGGAAUGAAAGUGAACAGUUGGGACUUCUGUCAUGGAAGGCACCGACGCCCGGACCAGACCUACUGUGACGGAUCCGAGGUAGAGCAUGUAUGUUGGGACCCGAAAGAUGGUGAACUAUGCCUGAGUAGGGUGAAGCCAGAGGAAACUCUGGUGGAGGCUCGUAGCGAUUCUGACGUGCAAAUCGAUCGUCGAACUUGGGUAUAGGGGCGAAAGACUAAUCGAACCAUCUAGUAGCUGGUUCCUGCGAGCUUUCUCUUCCCGAGAGUAAUAA
This 974-nucleotide ribosomal RNA is filed under the name Geastrum sp. RNAcentral's name for it is "partial large subunit ribosomal RNA". It matches the Rfam family "Eukaryotic large subunit ribosomal RNA", at positions 30 to 987 of the family's 3401-position model. Lineage: Eukaryota; Fungi; Basidiomycota; Agaricomycetes; Geastrales; Geastraceae. The record is from RNAcentral.